RNAcentral lists this long non-coding RNA (213 nucleotides) under Elaeis guineensis (African oil palm). RNAcentral describes it as "long non-coding RNA (EGUI_LNC002529)". Lineage: Eukaryota; Viridiplantae; Streptophyta; Magnoliopsida; Arecales; Arecaceae. The record is from RNAcentral.
UAGUAGUGUGAAUAGUUUUUUGACCUAUGGUGCCUCGACUGCUCAUAAUGGAGUUAUUGUAGUUUGACUGUAUAUAAGCAUGAUCUCUUAGUCAUUUGAAUCCUUACAGUAUUUGUUGGUUACACUAGAUUCAUUGUAGGAGUAGGGUGCGCACAUAGAUGAGAUCUAUCAACCUUAAUAGAUAAGUAGUAGUCCUAUAAGAUUUCAGAAGCU